RNAcentral lists this long non-coding RNA (1297 nucleotides) under Homo sapiens (human). Its description in RNAcentral is "novel transcript". Lineage: Eukaryota; Metazoa; Chordata; Mammalia; Primates; Hominidae. The record is from RNAcentral.
GGGGCUGGAGAAGGCAAAGUGCAGAGGAAGGAGGAGCCACUGCUAGUGGGUACGAGGUUUCUUCUUGGUACAAGGACUUCUACGUUCUGUCCUCCUGCAGCCAUCUAAAAUCAGCCAGAAAGGUUUAGGAUCCCAUUUCCUGUUCUUGCAUCGGCUGUCCAAGCUGCUGUUCCUCUCUCCGCAGUAAGAGGGUGUUUCUCUCCCUGUUCAAGAGGAGCACCAACACUUGAGUUUCCUCUCUGACACGUGCCCUGAAUUUCCCUCUCUGUGAACGGACAGUAUCAUCCCUAGACCUUGGCAAGAGAGACCACUGAGUGAGGCAUCCAUGGAACCCAAGGAAGAGGCCUACGAAGAACCUGCAGUCACCUUCUAGACCAUUCUCCCUCACCAAACUGUCCCCUCCAGAGAGCUGAGGACUGGAUCUUCCCAUGCUGACACCUCCAGUGGGAAAGAAAAUUCUAGAUUCAGCUCUGGGUGUCCAAGUCAUUAUGAAGGCAUAUUUGUCAAGGUGGAAGAAAAGGACAUAUUCUAUUUAGCAGUUUAAAGAAGUAAUGCAUGACUCUGAUUUGCGGCUGCAGGAUAAAUCCGAACUAUUUCAGGGAGAUGUCAUGGAGAGCUCAUCUCUCAGCAUCAAAGUUGCCUCUCCUGACUUUUGAAUUUUAAGUGUUCUGUGUGGAAGAAAAAUGGAGACAACAAAUUUCUAUGCAUGGAUUCAAAGAAUCCUCGUAAUAUACAGACUACAUUCUCCCCAGCUUUUUAUCUCUAUAUAUUCUUUUUGUUGAGUUUCAACCACAUAGGGUUGAAAUUCACCUUCCCACAUUACAUUUUUCAUCAAUAGUUGAAGACCUAUGUAUGUAAAUAUCAGGAACUAUCAGAACUCCCUGCAACAGGAAACCUGACCCCCAACUCCCCCGAAAUGCAUCAUGAUAAACAGUCACUUGCCAAAAUAACAAAUCAGCUUCCUGGAACAUGCUUGCUCAAAACCAGGAGAGGAGCUUAGAGACGUCAGCUUGACUUCUGCCUCGUACGCAGGAAGGGUGACCUUCAAAGAUCAAACAUCGUCCCAAAUCUCCCUUCAUCUUGUAGUACUCCUGCUUGUCGUAGCUCCUGUUACCAUCAGGUACUGGGCCAACCAUCCGUCAUGUCAGAAGAGAGUUGGGGACAAUCCCUGGAUUAUUUCACCUUUGCCCUGCUGGUAUAGACAAUGUGUGUUAUGGCUGGGUGACUUGCUGACUUUUACUCUGAGCAACAGCUUUGUCAGAGUAAACUAAAACAGAGACUUCAGAGCAUAAUAAAA